AGCCACCAUUCCCCUAACAGACAAAAGGCUCAUGGGGACAGUUCCUGCAGUUUACAGCAAAUUGUAGCCCUACAAACUUCAGAUACUGCCAAGCUUGGGUGCACUGGGCCGGUUAUCCAGCCGUGUGGAAUCAACAUCUCCAGCUGAACUUGGGCCGGGAAUUAUAUAAGAAUCCUUAGCAGCAUGAGUGCCAGCCAGUCAUUGCUGUUCUUUGCAUUGCUGAGGAGGACAGUCCUGCCAACAUAAUAGUUUGUUCAAUAACAGGAGACAAACAGAAACACAGAGGUGCUAUACAUUCCGAUGGAAAAUACAACAAAAGAAGAAUUUUAAGAAAGGUGAUGGUUGGGCACACACAAGAAGACAUAGAUCACAUGUGUCCAGGCAUAUGAGUAGACAGGAGUUUCACACUCUGCCAAACUUACUUCAUCAGAGGAGCAGAAAGCUUCUCAAGAUCCCGCACUGCACACUUAGAUAUAGUCUUUGACUACAACAAGGGGAUGGAAGUACAGAGAGGUCCAAUUGAAAUCAAUUCUGUGCUGCGUCAUUUCUUCAUUCUGGAAGUCGAUGGACAUGAUUUAUCAUGGCAUCAGGUGUGCAGUUUGUCGACUAUCAGCAGUCUUGUUCACCAGUUGUGCAACUUGAGCUGGUAGCUUUAUUGCUUGAAGCCACAGCAUAAGAGGGGGAAGGUGCAGGCUCAUCAAAAAGUCUCAAAAGUUGAAACUAGGAAAAGAAGUUUGUCAAGAGUGUGAAUAUUUGCUUUGAAAACCAUCGUUACGAUGAUUUGGUUUCCUUUGAAACUUGAUACAUACUAUGUGUAUGUUGAAUGAAUUGAGAUGCUUAAAUAAAGAACCGCUAUUCAAAUAUCAGGAAACUGCAUUUUUCAUACUAAAGGGUAAAUGAUGUCGCCAUUUCCUGUAUGUAUUUAAAUGAGAUAUGUUUCCACAAUUAAUAUUUUUAGGGAAUUUUUCUCAUCCUAAUGAAUGAGAUUAAAUUGUACAGCGUUAUAUGAGCUUAAUAUGUGUUUUCUGUUUCUUUAAAAUUGGUGAAAAAUUGUCAGAAGAUAAUUAGACCAGUAUCCAUUACUGCAAUCAUACAAUCAAAUAUACAGGGACAAACCCACUGGGCAUAUAAUAUAAUUAAACCCUGUUUAGGGGCACGAGGCAAACAGAGUUACUUUAAAACGUUAAAGCUGCACUCUCACAUUUUGGACGUUUUGACAACUUUUCUCAUUUUAUGUCUUGGAUUGGAACCAUCCAAUUUUUGCGAAAAAUUAAAUGGCAGAUUUUUCUAUUUAAGUUAAAACAUUGAUGUUUUAUGCACUUUUCUUAAACCGUUAGUAACAUUAAUUUUUGAACGGAAAUAUGAAAUCUGUGAUCUGAUCUUUUGUCAGCAAUCUUUUAUCAUUGGUUUGCAGAUAAU
Mya arenaria is the source of this 1419-nucleotide long non-coding RNA. RefSeq lists it as uncharacterized. Lineage: Eukaryota; Metazoa; Mollusca; Bivalvia; Myida; Myidae. The record is from RefSeq and is a predicted model, not a curated record. The transcript is spliced from 5 exons.